GUACUUAACGCUAAACAGGCGUAAGGCAGCAACCUAAACCAAAUUUAAGCUUUGCUUUUCUCCGAGUUUGCUACCUCUCGUAUUUCUGUGAAGCGUGCGCUUUCACUUGUGUUCUUUCUGAAUACUCUUCAGUGAGGAUUUUUGUGCUGUGGGUCUAUUGCAAGUAUAUAUCGCCUGCAUACAUCCAUGCGGGUUUGUGGUGCGUGUUGUGAGAGGCAUGGUUCUAUGCAUGGUUGCUCGCAAACAUGGUCUGCAUCGCUCAGAAGUUCGCGCAUUUUUCUUAAUUAGCUGAUCGUUGCGGUCAUUCCUAGUCAUCGCUAUGAUAUGUAUGUAGUGGCUGUGCAUGCGUGAAUAUACUAUCGUUCUUGUCGUUCUUGAAGUCUCAGCCGUGUUUUUCGUCAAUCGUUCGAUAUGACACUGUCUUCCAAGGUUCAUGUUCUGGUUACUGGCUGCAAAGCAAAAGGCUUCAGGAACAUCUCCAGCAUUGCGCACCGCUCUGUAAAUGGACAAAUACAGACAAGUGAGAAAGAUGGAACCCUCAUGAGAUUGGCUGGGCUGCGACCUACAAUCUUGUGGCUUCGACAUGCAUCAACAGCCACUAACAAAAACACCAACGCACUAUCUGAGGCCAAGGAUACAGAUGGAGGGCAGCUUACCUUAGGCCAGAAAGUGAAGCAGAGCACAAAAGACGCAAGCUACUUAGGUGUAAUACUUGCAGGGCUUGGAGUAACAGGCCUAAUGUUUUACACAAUCUUCCAUGAGCUUUUCUCGGGACAUAGCCCCAACUCUGUGUACUCACGAGCUCUGGAACGCUGCCGAGCUGACCCCAGGGUAAAAGCUGCUCUCGGUGAACCUUUGCAAGGACAUGGAGAAACAACCAGCCGAGGACGACGCAGGCAUGUUAGCCACAUGGAAUACAUUAAAGAUGGCAUCAACUACAUGCGUAUGAAGUUCUACAUCAAGGGGCCUAGCAGAUCUGGAACUGUACAUCUUGAAGUCAGAGAGUUAUAGGUUGUUGUAUUCACCACUGAGACUCACUCCUGCACCUUCCAAGUCUUACAGCUUGAAUGAACUUAAGCAUGAUGCUACUCUAAGCGCAAUGCCUCCAUGACUACUGAUAUCUCUGCAAAAUCAAAUGCUUUUGAUACUCAUUGAAAGUCAUAUAGGACAGUCACAAGAACUACGAGUACCGCUACCUGUUUGUUGAUCUUGAUGGCCAACCAAAGCGGACGAUCAUUCUAGAGGACAAUAGGGAAAGCAGAGGUCCCAGCAACACAU
This is an unclassified non-coding RNA of Rhipicephalus microplus (southern cattle tick), 1278 nucleotides long. Lineage: Eukaryota; Metazoa; Arthropoda; Arachnida; Ixodida; Ixodidae. The record is from RefSeq and is a predicted model, not a curated record.